RNAcentral lists this ribosomal RNA (301 nucleotides) under uncultured bacterium. RNAcentral describes it as "partial 16S ribosomal RNA". It matches the Rfam family "Bacterial small subunit ribosomal RNA", at positions 509 to 807 of the family's 1533-position model. The record is from RNAcentral.
CAGCCGCCACGGUAAUACGAAGGGUGCAAGCGUUAAUCGGAAUUACUGGGCGUAAAGCGUGCGUAGGCGGUGAGUUAAGUCUGCUGUGAAAUCCCCGGGCUCAACCUGGGAAUGGCAGUGGAUACUGGCUCGCUAGAGUGUGUCAGAGGAUGGUGGAAUUCCCGGUGUAGCGGUGAAAUGCGUAGAGAUCGGGAGGAACAUCAGUGGCGAAGGCGGCCAUCUGGGACAACACUGACGCUGAGGCACGAAAGCGUGGGGAGCAAACAGGAUUAGAUACCCCCUUAGUCCCUGUCUCUUAUAC